CGUAGUUGCACAGGUCGGUCUCGUCCUGGCUGCCCACGUCGAUGGCGAUGACGGUCUUGGCGCCCAUGUUGCGCGCGAUGUCGGCUGCGGGGACAGACGGACACGGGGACGGUGGGAGAUCAGCGGGGACAGACGGACACGGGGAUGGAGAGCGGUCAGCGGGGACGGACGGACACUGGGACGGCAGGAGGUCAGCGGGGACAGAGGGACACGGGGACAGACAGACACGGGGACAGCAGGAGGUCAGCGGGGACAGACGGACACGGGGACAGACGGACACGGGGACGGCGGGAGGUCAGAGGGGACAGACGGACACGGGGACAGAGGGAGGUCAGCGGGGACAGACGGACACAGGGAUGGAGAGCAGGUGGAGGUGUCCUCCAGGAGGGGUCAGAGGGGGUGGACGGGGGGACACGGCUGGGGACACCCCCUGGGGCUGGAGGAGGAUGGAGAUGGUCCUGGGGGACACCAUGGGGUGAUGAUGAUGAUGAAAUGGAUGAAGAUGUUCCUGGUGGACAUCAAGGGAGAAGGAUGAUGAUGAUGAUGAUGAUGAUGAUGAUGAUGAUCCUCAUGAUGAUGAUGAUGAUGAAGGUCAUUUCCACAGGGAGGAGGAUGGAGAUGGUCCUGGGGGACACCAUGGGGUGAUGAAGGUGAUGAUGAUGAAAUGGAUGAAGAUGUUCCUGGUGGACAUCAAGGGAGAAGGAUGAUGAUGAUGAUGAUGAUGAUGAUGAUGAUGAUGAUGAUCCUCAUGAUGAUGAUGAUGAUGAAGGUCAUUUCCACAGGGAGGAGGAUGGAGAUGGUCCUGGGGGACACCAUGGGGUGAUGAAGGUGAUGAAAUGGAUGAAGAUGUUCCUGGUGGACAUCAAGGGAGAAGGAUGAUGAUGAUGAUGAUGAUCCUCAUGAUGAUGAUGAUGAUGAAGGUCAUUUCCACAGGGAGGAGGAUGGAGAUGGUCCUGGGGGGCACCAUGGGGUGAUGAAGGUGAUGAUGAUAAAAUGGAUGAAGAUGUUCCUGGUGGACAUCAAGGGAGGAGGAGGAGGAUGAUGAUGAUGAUGAUCCUCAUGAUGAUGAUGAUGGUGAAGGCCAUUUGCACAGGGAAGAGGAUGGAGAUGGUCACCGAGGACACCCAGGGAUGGCGCAGGACGGAGACCGAGGCAGGUGAAGGACGGAAAUCACCAGGGAAAGCACCCGGGACCAGCAGCAGGUGACACCAGGAGGUGACACCAGGAGGUGACACCAGGAGGUGAC
RNA transcript from Poecile atricapillus (Black-capped chickadee), 1246 nucleotides. It is a transcript of the gene named PE-PGRS family protein PE_PGRS16-like, with no coding region annotated. NCBI's taxonomy places the organism in Eukaryota, Metazoa, Chordata, Aves, Passeriformes, Paridae. The record is from RefSeq and is a predicted model, not a curated record. The transcript is spliced from 4 exons.